RNAcentral lists this ribosomal RNA (468 nucleotides) under uncultured bacterium. RNAcentral describes it as "partial 16S ribosomal RNA". It matches the Rfam family "Bacterial small subunit ribosomal RNA", at positions 28 to 507 of the family's 1533-position model. The record is from RNAcentral.
GACGAACGCUGGCGGCGUGCUUAACACAUGCAAGUCGAACGGAAAGGCCCUGCUUUUGUGGGGUGCUCGAGUGGCGAACGGGUGAGUAACACGUGAGUAACCUGCCCUUGACUUUGGGAUAACUUCAGGAAACUGGGGCUAAUACCGGAUAGGAGCUCCUGCUGCAUGGUGGGGGUUGGAAAGUUUCGGCGGUUUGGGGUGGACUCGCGGCUUAUCAGCUUGUUGGUGGGGUAGUGGCUUACCAAGGCUUUGACGGGUAGCCGGCCUGAGAGGGUGACCGGCCACAUUGGGACUGAGAUACGGCCCAGACUGCUACGGGAGGCAGCAGGGGGGAACAUUGCACAAUGGGCGGAAGCCUGAUGCAGCAACGCCGCGUGCGGGAUGACGGCCUUCGGGUUGUAAACCGCUGUCGCCUGUGACGAAGCGUGAGUGACGGUAAUGGGUAAAGAAGCACCGGCUAACUACGUG